AAGGCCUUCGGGUUGUAAAGCCCUUUUGAUUGGGAAAGAAAUCCAGCCGGCUAAUACCUGGUUGGGAUGACGGUACCCAAAGAAUAAGCACCGGCUAACUUCGUGCCAGCAGCCGCGGUAAUAA
RNAcentral lists this ribosomal RNA (124 nucleotides) under uncultured Stenotrophomonas sp. RNAcentral describes it as "partial 16S ribosomal RNA". It matches the Rfam family "Bacterial small subunit ribosomal RNA", at positions 411 to 526 of the family's 1533-position model. Lineage: Bacteria; Pseudomonadati; Pseudomonadota; Gammaproteobacteria; Lysobacterales; Lysobacteraceae. The record is from RNAcentral.